This 245-nucleotide non-coding RNA is filed under the name Tepidimonas fonticaldi. The record is from RNAcentral. Lineage: Bacteria; Pseudomonadati; Pseudomonadota; Betaproteobacteria; Burkholderiales.
AAUACAAUGUGGGGCGUUGGUGCUCGCGCCGCGGUUCUCGCGGCGCAGUUAAACGGGAAGCUUGGGGGGAUGCCGGCCGCUCGGCCGGGUCCUAACCAGCGCUGCCCCCGCAACGGUAAGUGGACGGGUGCGUCUCGCGCACGCACCCCGCUUUCGCCCGUCGGUCACUGGAUGCCUGGCAUCUGGGAAGGCCCGCGAAGGUUGCUUCCACCAGCCCGGAUACCGGCCAACGCGGUGAUCGGCUC